UUUCCGAAUAUCCGUAUUUUUCCGAAGCAAAGCAAAUCGAAAAAUUAGAUAUCCGUGACAUACAAAGCAAAUCACAAAUACCUUCAAAACCCCGGAUAUCUGAUCUGUGCCCAGGCCUAAUGACGAUACCCUGGUUCGAGAUGUAUCGGUGCCGUUUCGUUUCAAUUUUCUUCUCCCCGAAACGGUUAUGGGAUUCAUUGAUUCAGUGCCAUUAAUGACAUCCUUAACUCUUUUGACCAUUCAAUGGUCCGGGUGCCUCUCCACCUAUAAAAGGUUAGCCUUCAUCCCUUGAAACUUAUCUUUCAGUAGAAUGGGAGAAGUCGCUCACGGGAAGCUGAUAGAAGGUGUGUAGGGGGAUGGAUCUGAAGGGUUUGGAGUUCACUUGGAUUACGUAAAGUUGGUGACGGAGGAGCCGAUGGGACACACGGUGGUGAUGCUACGAUCGGACGGGAAGAACUCGAUCAUUAUUGUAGGUGCUGCUAAUAUGAGAGGGUGGCUUGAGAAGAUGAUCGAUGAUGCUUGAGAUCGUGAGGAAUGCUGGUGUUGUGCCGCUUCAAAGAGAGAUCCCAGACUCCAUCAACAUUCACGUUGUUAAGGCUGUGAAGAGAGCAGUUGUUUCGGUCAUCUUGACUUGGGAGGAAUGAAUAUGUCAAUCUCUAAUGAGAUAUUCGAUUUGUAGACAAUCUCAAAACAAGAGUAGAUUUGCUCAAAUGAGCUUUAUUGAUAGAAUAUAAAGAUGAACUGAAAUAGCUUAUUAAAGCUUUAUUAACAUGCAAAAAAAUAAAGAAAGGGAGAAGCUUUAUGUUUGUCUUCAAGAAAUAAAACAAACGUUUGAUUUCAUAAAGUCUUUAAUGGAGGCUGCUUCUAUGAGCAGCAAGGUUACAAAACACAUUCUCAUAACAGUCAUAUUUAUAUGAAACUAUCUAGAACCCUAAACACUUGAACUUGUUGUCACUUCUUUGGGCUUCUGAAGAUUGCAUUGGCUUCUUCUUUUGGGCUCUAAUACUCCCCCGCAAACUUGGCAGCGGGCGAAAACAAAGCUGACAAGUUUGAAUGAUCAUGAGAAUGACUUUGGAUGGCUGGACAGGCAUGUGAGCAGCUGAAUCAAACAUGAAGAUGUAAGCAACCUCCUAAAGUAGCUGUAGGGAGAAUAAAACAAUAGACUUCAGAACCAGAUGAGAACUCUUGGUCUAUACUUGGAGAUCUAUCAUGACUCACUCAGAGGUUUCUCUUGAACUUGGAGAGUUUAGUAUAAUCUCUCAGAGGUAUUUUCAACCAUUGUUCUUCACAAAACUCUUGGUUGUCCUGCACCAUCACUUAGCAAACAAAAGACAUGUCCACAACUACUGAAAUUCUUCAACUACUGAAAUUCUUCAACUCUAACCUUCCCUUUCAGUUAUCAGCCACAUCUUUAAUAUUAUUUCCAAAGCAUCUCAACAAACUUGCACCAAUAACAUCUCAUGAAAUCCAAUACCGAUAACUCUUAUACAGCCAACAGAACCAUCAAACCAAGCAAUUUUCACAGUAGCAGCUUCUUCUCAUUCCACGAGCUAUAACUAAUCCAGAAAUCAUCUAAACUAGCCAUAUGACACGUUCUAUCUCCAAGAAAAGGGGGAAACGUUACCGUCAUUUAUAGCACCAACUCCACAAGCUUUGCAAUUUUGAAGCUGUCACUUGAUUAAAGCUUCCACCUUUUAACUCUUCUUCUUCUUCAUUGGGAUCUCAAACUUGUUCCCCUGCUUUUGUGCCAGCCGACAGGAAGGAGACAACUUGGCAAGCCUGCUUCUUCAAAUAAAACGCAAGUCUGGGUUUUGGUCAGGACAGUGUUGAUAGGAUCUGUCUUGGUCGCUGGUUCUUCUUCCUUU
Long non-coding RNA from Brassica napus (rape), 1865 nucleotides. RefSeq lists it as uncharacterized. NCBI's taxonomy places the organism in Eukaryota, Viridiplantae, Streptophyta, Magnoliopsida, Brassicales, Brassicaceae. The transcript is spliced from 2 exons. The record is from RefSeq and is a predicted model, not a curated record.